GACGUAUAGGGUGUGAUGCCUGCCCGGUGCUGGAAGGUUAAUUGAUGGGGUUAGCGUAAGCGAAGCUCUUGAUCGAAGCCCCAGUAAACGGCGGCCGUAACUAUAACGGUCCUAAGGUAGCGAAAUUCCUUGUCGGGUAAGUUCCGACCUGCACGAAUGGCAUAAUGAUGGCGGCGCUGUCUCCAGCAGAGGCUCAGUGAAAUCGAAAUCGCUGUGAAGAUGCAGUGUACCCGCGGCUAGACGGAAAGACCCCGUGAACCUUUACUGCAGCUUGACACUGAACUUUGACCUUACUUGUGUAGGAUAGGUGGGAGGCUUUGAAGCUGGAACGCUAGUUCCAGUGGAGCCGUCCUUGAAAUACCACCCUGGUAAUGUUGAGGUUCUAACUCUGUCCCGUGAUCCGGGACGAGGACCGUGUCUGGUGGGUAGUUUGACUGGGGCGGUCUCCUCCUAAAGAGUAACGGAGGAGUACGAAGGUGCGCUCAGCGUGGUCGGAAAUCACGCGUAGAGUAUAAAGGCAAAAGCGCGCUUAACUGCGAGACCCACAAGUCGAGCAGGUACGAAAGUAGGUCUUAGUGAUCCGGUGGUUCUGUAUGGAAGGGCCAUCGCUCAACGGAUAAAAGGUACUCUGGGGAUAACAGGCUGAUACCGCCCAAGAGUUCAUAUCGACGGCGGUGUUUGGCACCUCGAUGUCGGCUCAUCUCAUCCUGGGGCUGAAGCAGGUCCCAAGGGUAUGGCUGUUCGCCAUUUAAAGAGGUACGCGAGCUGGGUUUAGAACGUCGUGAGACAGUUCGGUCCCUAUCUACCGUGGGCGCUGGAAAUUUGAGAGGAUCUGCUCCUAGUACGAGAGGACCAGAGUGGACGAACCUCUGGUGUACCGGUUGUGACGCCAGUCGCAUCGCCGGGUAGCUAUGUUCGGAAGGGAUAACCGCUGAAAGCAUCUAAGCGGGAAGCCUACCUCAAGAUAAGAUUUCCCUAGGACUUUAUGUCCUCUAAAGAGCCGUUCGAGACUAGGACGUUGAUAGGUUGGAUGUGGAAGCAUAGUGAUAUGUGAAGCUGACCAAUACUAAUUGCUCGUGAGGCUUGACUAU
This 1091-nucleotide ribosomal RNA is filed under the name Acinetobacter baumannii. RNAcentral's name for it is "partial 23S ribosomal RNA". It matches the Rfam family "Bacterial large subunit ribosomal RNA", at positions 1840 to 2925 of the family's 2925-position model. The record is from RNAcentral. Lineage: Bacteria; Pseudomonadati; Pseudomonadota; Gammaproteobacteria; Moraxellales; Moraxellaceae.